This 445-nucleotide ribosomal RNA is filed under the name uncultured bacterium. RNAcentral's name for it is "partial 16S ribosomal RNA". It matches the Rfam family "Bacterial small subunit ribosomal RNA", at positions 354 to 796 of the family's 1533-position model. The record is from RNAcentral.
GUAGGGAAUAUUGGGCAAUGGAAGGAAUUCUGACCCAGCCAUGCCGCGUGCAGGAAUACAGUCCUAUGGACUUUAAACUGCUUUUAUUAUAGAGUAACCUGGGGGACGUGUCCCCCACUGCAAGUAUAUAAUGAAUAAGCAUCGGCUAACUCCGUGCCAGCAGCCGCGGUAAUACGGGGGAUGCAAGCGUUAUCCGGAUUUAUUGGGUUUAAAGGGUGCGCAGGCUGAUCGGUAAGUCAUGGGUGAAAAGUCGCUGCUUAACAGUGAUCGUGCCUAUGAUACUGCCGGACUAGAGUUUAAGAGGUGUAACUGGAAUGUGAUGUGUAGCGGUGAAAUGCUUAGAUAUGUCACAGAACGCCAAUCGUGAAGACAGGUUACAAACUUAAUACUGACGCUCAUGCACGAAAGCGUGGGGAUCAAACAGGAUUAGAAACCCCGGUAGUCC